AACGAACGCUGGCGGCAUGCCUAACACAUGCAAGUCGAACGAGACCUUCGGGUCUAGUGGCGCACGGGUGCGUAACGCGUGGGAACCUGCCCUUAGGUUCGGAAUAACUCCCCGAAAGGGGUGCUAAUACCGGAUAAUGUCUUCGGACCAAAGAUUUAUCGCCUUUGGAUGGGCCCGCGUUGGAUUAGCUAGUUGGUAGGGUAAAAGCCUACCAAGGCGACGAUCCAUAGCUGGUCUGAGAGGAUGAUCAGCCACACUGGGACUGAGACACGGCCCAGACUCCUACGGGAGGCAGCAGUGGGGAAUAUUGGACAAUGGGCGAAAGCCUGAUCCAGCAAUGCCGCGUGAGUGAUGAAGGCCUUAGGGUUGUAAAGCUCUUUUACCCGGGAUGAUAAUGACAGUACCGGGAGAAUAAGCGCCGGUUAACUCCGUG
RNAcentral lists this ribosomal RNA (433 nucleotides) under uncultured bacterium. Its description in RNAcentral is "partial 16S ribosomal RNA". It matches the Rfam family "Bacterial small subunit ribosomal RNA", at positions 29 to 507 of the family's 1533-position model. The record is from RNAcentral.